UUACAUAAAUUUUCACCUUACAGAUAACUUACAUGUUUCUCACUGUCCUGAGUUCCACGGGACAUGGGGAAGCUCUAGGAGACGGCUCCCCUUGGGAUCAUGUAUUACGUGGAUCCAAAGGCUGGGGGAAUUCCGCCAGACCCAACCUGCAGCCAGGAAUACCAAUUCCUAGAAGCUCCCUCCUACAGAGAACUCAACUGAAGGGUCGUGAAGAAGCUGGAUGUUAGGGCUCUUUCAUUCAAUUUCUGUACUCCUUGGCAAGUGGAGUAGCGCUUAAAUCGAGAUCGCAAUCCCGUGUUAAAUGUAUUGUGAACGCAAUUUGACAUUAUUGGCCUCUGGGAGCAAUCCCAGGAUGCUCCCUUGUGACCGCUCUGGAUAACACUCUCAACUCCAAUGCAGUAGCCAGGUGGGCAGGAAAAGCCCUGGCAACUUUUGAAUUUCAUUUCCUGUUUGCUCACGAGCAGCACAGGUGACCAUCAGCACAGUCCACCAUCACAGGCGACCAUGCAGAGUCCAUCAUCACAAGAGAUCACGCCGUCCCGGAUUCGCAGAUGAGCUCCACCAUGGUCUGAACAGGAGGUACUGGAUCUCAUCGCAUGCUGGGGAGACGAGUCUGUUAUGGCAGAACUACGUUCCAAAAAAAGGAACGCAAAUACCUACGCUAAAGUCUCCAGGGCCAUGACGGAAAGGUGCUACUCCAGGGACACAGAGCAGUGUCAUGCAAAAAUCAAGGAGCUCAGGCAAGCGUACCAAAAAGCCAGGGAGGCAAACGGGUGCUCUGGGUCACAGCCCCAUACAUUCCGCUUUUACCGUGAGCUCCAUGUAAUUAUGGGGGGUGAUGCCACCACUACCCCACCACUGUCCGUGGACAGCUGCAAGGGGGGAGUUGCAUGGAGCGAGGAGGAAGAGACAUUGGAGGACGAGGAGGAGGAGGACAGUGCACAGGUGGCAAGUGGGGAAUCCAUUUUCCCCCCUAGCCAGGAACUAAUCUUAACGCUGGAUCCAAUAGCCUCCCCUGACUCCCAAGGCGGGCUCCUGGUCCAUGACCCUGGAGAAGGUGCAAAUAUUUCAAUGCGGCCCCUAUCUACUCUGUCCAGAGGCUAGUCCAGAUUAGAAGAUGGAAAAAAUGAAUUUGGGAUGACAUGUUCGCUGAGCUCAUGCAAUCCUCCCGCACUGAUAGGGCCCAGCUGAAUGCAUGGAGGCAAACAAUUGUAGAGUCCCGUAAAGCAUUACAGGAACACGAAGAGAGGAGGGACAUGGGUGAUGAGAGCAGGCAGGAUGCUAUGGUCAAGCUCAUGGGGGAGCAAACUGACAUGCUCCACUGUAUGGUGGAUCUAAUGCGGGAAAGGCAGCAAGACCAUAGACUUCCGCUGCAGCCCCUGUAUAAUCAAACUCCCUGCUCCCCAAGUUCCAUAGCCUCCUCACCCAGACGCCCAAGAACAGGGGGGAGGCUACGGGGAUCCAAACACUCAACCCCAGAGGAUCGCCCAAGCACCAGAAAGCUGGCAUAUGCAAAUUUUUGAUUUGGUUUCUGGACUUGUCCUUCCCUGCUCCUCCACCCCCCCUAACACAACCCCCCUCUCCCCAGUCUACCUUCUAAUUUCUCUCAAUGCGUUGUGCAUCAAAUA
Long non-coding RNA from Malaclemys terrapin pileata, 1628 nucleotides. RefSeq lists it as uncharacterized. The record is from RefSeq and is a predicted model, not a curated record. The transcript is spliced from 3 exons. NCBI's taxonomy places the organism in Eukaryota, Metazoa, Chordata, Testudines, Emydidae.